AGUGAACGCUGGCGGUAGGCCUAACACAUGCAAGUCGAACGGCAGCACAGGAGAGCUUGCUCUCUGGGUGGCGAGUGGCGGACGGGUGAGGAAUACAUCGGAAUCUACUCUGUCGUGGGGGAUAACGUAGGGAAACUUACGCUAAUACCGCAUACGACCUACGGGUGAAAGCAGGGGACCUUCGGGCCUUGCGCGAUUGAAUACGCCGAUGUCGGAUUAGCUAGUGGGCGGGGUAAAGGCCCACCAAGGCGACGAUCCGUAGCUGGUCUGAGAGGAUGAUCAGCCACACUGGAACUGAGACACGGUCCAGACUCCUACGGGAGGCAGCAAUGGGGAAUAUUGGACAAUGGGCGCAAGCCUGAUCCAGCCAUACCGCGUGGGUGAAGAAGGCCUUCGGGUUGUAAAGCCCUUUUGUUGGGAAAGAAAUCCAGCUGGCUAAUACCCGGUUGGGAUGACGGUACCCAAAGAAUAAGCACCGGCUAACUUCGUGCCAGCCGCCGCCGUAA
This 506-nucleotide ribosomal RNA is filed under the name uncultured bacterium. RNAcentral describes it as "partial 16S ribosomal RNA". It matches the Rfam family "Bacterial small subunit ribosomal RNA", at positions 29 to 523 of the family's 1533-position model. The record is from RNAcentral.